This is a non-coding RNA of Dryococelus australis, 71 nucleotides long. NCBI's taxonomy places the organism in Eukaryota, Metazoa, Arthropoda, Insecta, Phasmatodea, Phasmatidae. The record is from the annotation of a GenBank genome assembly.
UCCUCGGUAGUAUAUUGGUUAGUAUCCCCGCCAGUCACGUGGGAAACACUGGUUCGAUUCAACGCCGGGAG